RNAcentral lists this ribosomal RNA (370 nucleotides) under uncultured bacterium. RNAcentral describes it as "bacterial SSU rRNA". It matches the Rfam family "Bacterial small subunit ribosomal RNA", at positions 1070 to 1416 of the family's 1533-position model. The record is from RNAcentral.
AGGGGUUUAAAGGUCCCGGCAAAACGAAGGGGGCCAAACCCCUGGCCCAUAAGUUGCCCAUUCAUUAAAGUUUGGGGCCAAUUCUAAGUGGGGAACUGCCGGGUGAUAAAGCCGGGAAGGAAAGGUGGGGGAUGACGUCCAAGUCAUCAUGGCCCUUACGGGCUGGGCUACACACGUGCUACAAUGGCGGUUGACAAUGGGCAGCCACUCCGCGAGGAGGAGCUAAUCCCAAAAAGCCGUCUCAGUUCGGAUUGUUCUCUGCAACUCGAGAGCAUGAAGUCGGAAUCGCUAGUAAUCGUGGAUCAGCAUGCCACGGUGAAUACGUUCCCGGGCCUUGUACACACCCCCCGGAAUCACUAGUGAAUUCGCG